UACGGAGGGUGCAAGCGUUAUCCGGAUUCACUGGGUUUAAAGGGUGCGUAGGUGGGCAGGUAAGUCAGUGGUGAAAUCUCCGGGCUUAACUCGGAAACUGCCGUUGAUACUAUCUGUCUUGAAUAUCGUGGAGGUUAACGGAAUAUGUCAUGUAGCGGUGAAAUGCUUAGAUAUGACAUAGAACACCGAUUGCGAAGGCAGCUAACUACACGAUCAUUGACACUGAGGCACGAAAGCGUGGGGAGCAAACAGG
RNAcentral lists this ribosomal RNA (253 nucleotides) under uncultured bacterium. RNAcentral describes it as "partial 16S ribosomal RNA". It matches the Rfam family "Bacterial small subunit ribosomal RNA", at positions 524 to 776 of the family's 1533-position model. The record is from RNAcentral.